UGCCAGCAGCCGCGGUAAUACGGAGGGGGUUAGCGUUGUUCGGAAUUACUGGGCGUAAAGCGCACGUAGGCGGAUUAGAAAGUUAGAGGUGGAAUCCCGGGGCUCAACCCCGGAACUGCCUUUGAAACUACUAGUCUAGAGUUCGAGAGAGGUGAGUGGAAUUCCGAGUGUAGCGGUGAAAUGCGUAGAUAUUCGGAGGAACACCAAUUGCGAAGGCAGUUCACUGGACCGUGAUCGACGCUGAGGAGCGAAAGCUAGGGGAGCAAACAGGAUUAGAUA
Molecule: ribosomal RNA, 279 nt
Filed under: uncultured bacterium
Lineage: Bacteria
Description: partial 16S ribosomal RNA
Rfam family: Bacterial small subunit ribosomal RNA
Source: RNAcentral